GUGGGUAGUUUGACUGGGGCGGUCUCCUCCUAAAGAGUAACGGAGGAGCACGAAGGUUGGCUAAUCCUGGUCGGACAUCAGGAGGUUAGUGCAAUGGCAUAAGCCAGCUUGACUGCGAGCGUGACGGCGCGAGCAGGUGCGAAAGCAGGUCAUAGUGAUCCGGUGGUUCUGAAUGGAAGGGCCAUCGCUCAACGGAUAAAAGGUACUCCGGGGAUAACAGGCUGAUACCGCCCAAGAGUUCAUAUCGACGGCGGUGUUUGGCACCUCGAUGUCGGCUCAUCACAUCCUGGGGCUGAAGUAGGUCCCAAGGGUAUGGCUGUUCGCCAUUUAAAGUGGUACGCGAGCUGGGUUUAGAACGUCGUGAGACAGUUCGGUCCCUAUCUGCCGUGGGCGCUGGAGAACUGAGGGGGGCUGCUCCUAGUACGAGAGGACCGGAGUGGACGCAUCACUGGUGUUCGGGUUGUCAUGCCAAUGGCACUGCCCGGUAGCUAAAUGCGGAAGAGAUAAGUGCUGAAAGCAUCUAAGCACGAAACUUGCCCCGAGAUGAGUUCUCCCUGAGACUUAAAGUCUCCUGAAGGAACGUUGAAGACGACGACGUUGAUAGGCCGGGUGUGUAAGCGCAGCGAUGCGUUGAGC
This 636-nucleotide ribosomal RNA is filed under the name Salmonella enterica subsp. enterica serovar Dublin. RNAcentral describes it as "partial 23S ribosomal RNA". It matches the Rfam family "Bacterial large subunit ribosomal RNA", at positions 2261 to 2891 of the family's 2925-position model. Lineage: Bacteria; Pseudomonadati; Pseudomonadota; Gammaproteobacteria; Enterobacterales; Enterobacteriaceae. RNAcentral also lists the same sequence under 1 other name. The record is from RNAcentral.